CUCCCGAUCCCAUCUCAACCUGGAGCCCGCCGCCGCCUCCUCUCACGUCCCGCCCCGCCUCACCGUGCGCCGCCGCCGUCGCCUACCUCGCCGGUGCGCCUACCCCUACCCCAGGUGCCCCCACACCCGCGGCCUUCCCCUGUCGGUGACCCGCGGCCUUCCGCCGCCAGCGACGCUCGACGCCGCGGCCGUUGGUGGAUCCGCUGGGUCUCCUCCAUGCUGCUUCCACCUCGACAAUGGUUUCUCCAACCACGCCGGCUUCGCCACUAGCCACUCCUUCCCCCACCAACAUGCCGCCCUCCAAGUGGACCCCCUUCUCCGGUAAGAUCCCCUCCCAGAGCAGGACGGCGAGUACGACCCAGCCCCACCCGCGCACGCCGCCGCCCCAUCCGUCGUGGCGCCACCUUCCCCCUUCUCUUGUAGAGCAGGCGACAAGUCCAUCCGUCAUGGUACUGCCUCACCCAUCCCCUGUAGAGCAGGCAACAGCAGAGCUCCUAGGCAAAUAGUUCAUGAAUUCUUUUGUGUGAGAUCAAUUUUAUUGAUUGUUUCAAAUGUAGCAGAAAGAGACCAUUACAUGGAUAUGAAUGGAGGUAAUUUUAUAAUGCAAGAUUAGAGAUGGAAUUUACUUUGCAUAGUCUGUCACAAGAUAAAGGAGGCAGUGGAUGGGAGUGAUACAACCGGAGCUGUUGCAGUACUGGCAGGUUACAGAAAGCAUGUACUUGCGAACAGGGAGACAACGAAUGGACGCUUCAGUGGUAGCCGGCCGGUGGCCACGCAUUGGCAGCCACCGCUUAGAUACAUAACUCCAGCCAGCUAUGGUUGAGAAUGGCAAGAAGAUGCUUAUUCUCCACAGUACAAAGUGCUAUUGGUGCAGUUUUGAACUCCGUGCUGACAGAUCAUUUUCACCUGAUGCGCGAUCGUUAUGGAAGUGCGCCAACAAUAACAAUAUAAUCAAGCCAUUUGAGUGUAGUGGUGGAACUCCCUAGAGGUAUUCUCCCUUAAAUCUUAUUGUAGCCUUUAUUCACAUAUCCUAUUGUGUAGUUUGUGACAAUAAGGAAUUGUUAUUCACUUGAA
This is a long non-coding RNA of Triticum dicoccoides, 1074 nucleotides long. RefSeq lists it as uncharacterized. The transcript has 3 exons. Lineage: Eukaryota; Viridiplantae; Streptophyta; Magnoliopsida; Poales; Poaceae. The record is from RefSeq and is a predicted model, not a curated record.